Molecule: ribosomal RNA, 254 nt
Filed under: uncultured bacterium
Lineage: Bacteria
Description: partial 16S ribosomal RNA
Rfam family: Bacterial small subunit ribosomal RNA
Source: RNAcentral
UACGUAGGGUGCGAGCGUUGUCCGGAAUUAUUGGGCGUAAAGAGCUCGUAGGCGGUGUGUCACGUCGGCCGUGAAAACCUGCAGCUUAACUGUGGGCGUGCGGUCGAUACGGGCAUCACUGGAGUUCGGCAGGGGAGACUGGAAUUCCUGGUGUAGCGGUGAAAUGCGCAGAUAUCAGGAGGAACACCGGUGGCGAAGGCGGGUCUCUGGGCCGAUACUGACGCUCAUGUGCGAAAGCGUGGGGAGCAAACAGG